RNAcentral lists this ribosomal RNA (496 nucleotides) under uncultured bacterium. RNAcentral describes it as "partial 16S ribosomal RNA". It matches the Rfam family "Bacterial small subunit ribosomal RNA", at positions 28 to 506 of the family's 1533-position model. The record is from RNAcentral.
GACGAACGCUGGCGGCGUGCCUAAUACAUGCAAGUUGAGCGAUGAAGAUUGGUGCUUGCACCAAUUUGAAGAGCAGCGAACGGGUGAGUAACGCGUGGGGAAUCUGCCUUUGAGCGGGGGACAACAUUUGGAAACGAAUGCUAAUACCGCAUAACAACUUUAAACAUAAGUUUUAAGUUUGAAAGAUGCAAUUGCAUCACUCAAAGAUGAUCCCGCGUUGUAUUAGCUAGUUGGUGAGGUAAAGGCUCACCAAGGCGAUGAUACAUAGCCGACCUGAGGGGGUGAUCGGCCACAUUGGGGCUGAGACACGGCCCAAACUCCUACGGGAGGCAGCAGUAGGGAAUCUUCGGCAAUGGACGAAAGUCUGACCGAGCAACGCCGCGUGAGUGAAGAAGGUUUUCGGAUCGUAAAACUCUGUUGGUAGAGAAGAACGUUGGUGAGAGUGGAAAGCUCAUCAAGUGACGGUAACUACCCAGAAAGGGACGGCUAACUACGU